GACGAACGCUGGCGGCGUGCUUAACACAUGCAAGUCGAACGAUGAACCCGGAGCUUGCUCUGGGGGAUUAGUGGCGAACGGGUGAGUAACACGUGAGUAACCUGCCCUGGACUCUGGGAUAAGCGUUGGAAACGACGUCUAAUACCGGAUAGGACCUUGGAUCGCAUGAUCUGGGGUGGAAAGUUUCUUCGGUCUGGGAUGGACUCGCGGCCUAUCAGCUUGUUGGUGAGGUAAUGGCUCACCAAGGCGUCGACGGGUAGCCGGCCUGAGAGGGUGACCGGCCACACUGGGACGGAGACAGGGACCAGACUCCUACGGGCGGCAGCAGUGGGGAGUAUUGCACACUGGGCGAAAGCCUGCUGCAGCAACGCCGCGUGCGGGAUGACGGCCUUCGGGUUGUAAACCGCUUUUAGUAGGGAAGAAGGGCUUCGGCUUGACGGUACCUGCAGAAAAAGGACCGGCUAACUACGUG
This 472-nucleotide ribosomal RNA is filed under the name uncultured bacterium. Its description in RNAcentral is "partial 16S ribosomal RNA". It matches the Rfam family "Bacterial small subunit ribosomal RNA", at positions 28 to 507 of the family's 1533-position model. The record is from RNAcentral.